UGAGGAAUAUUGGUCAAUGGGCGAAAGCCUGAACCAGCCAUGCCGCGUGAAGGACGAAGGCCCUAUGGGUCGUAAACUUCUUUUGUAUAGGGCGAAACGAAUAUUUAAUAUAUGCAUUGACGGUACUAUACGAAUAAGCAUCGGCUAACUCCGUGCCAGCAGCCGCGGUAAUACGGAGGAUGCGAGCGUUAUCCGGAUUUAUUGGGUUUAAAGGGUUCGUAGGCGGCUUUGUAAGUCAGCGGUGAAAUACCAACGCUCAACGUUGGGGCUGCCGUUGAUACUGCUGGGCUUGAGAUGGAUCGACGAUGGCGGAAUGUGACAAGUAGCGGUGAAAUGCAUAGAUAUGUCACAGAACACCGAUAGCGAAGGCAGCUGUCGAGGUCAUCAUCUGACGCUGAGGAACGAAAGCGUGGGGAUCAAACA
RNAcentral lists this ribosomal RNA (423 nucleotides) under uncultured bacterium. RNAcentral describes it as "bacterial SSU rRNA". It matches the Rfam family "Bacterial small subunit ribosomal RNA", at positions 355 to 774 of the family's 1533-position model. The record is from RNAcentral.